RNAcentral lists this unclassified non-coding RNA (333 nucleotides) under soil metagenome. RNAcentral describes it as "partial contains 5.8S ribosomal RNA, internal transcribed spacer 2, and large subunit ribosomal RNA". The stretch from base 1 to 120 matches the Rfam family "5.8S ribosomal RNA", at positions 35 to 154 of the family's 154-position model. The record is from RNAcentral.
GAUGAAGAACGUAGUGAAAUGCGAUAAGUAAUGUGAAUUGCAGAAUUCAGUGAAUCAUCGAAUCUUUGAACGCACAUUGCGCCCGCCAGUAUUCUGGCGGGCAUGCCUGUUCGAGCGUCAUUUCAACCAUCAAGCCCCCGGCUUGUGUUGGGGACCUGCGGCUGCCGCAGGCCCUGAAAUGCAGUGGCGGGCUCGCUGUCACUCCGAGCGUAGUAGUUACAUCUCGCUCUGGGCGUGCUGCGGGUUCCGGCCGUUAAAAGCCUUAUUUACCCAAGGUUGACCUCGGAUCAGGUAGGAAGACCCGCUGAACUUAAGCAUAUCAAUAAGCGGGGA